UCGAGAUGAAAAUAGGUCAUUGGUAUGUCUUGUCUCUUGUAGAUGUCCCUUAUAUAAAUCAUAUUUCAGAUUCUGAAUUAUGAUUAGGUGCCUAGUGCCUACUAAAACUCUGUGUUCCCAAUUAAAGCAUAAUUUUGAUUUUCCUUAAGUUUGUUCGUUUGGAUGUCAUAUAAACCCUUGGAGCAUCAGCAUCAGCAAACCCCCUUUUUGGGUUCAUCUUUUCAAUUUUUUAUUAUUAAAUUCUUUUUCUUUUUUUUUUUUGAUUUUUUUUUAAAAAAAAAAAAACUAGACCAAUCGCGGACCGCUACGACACGUAGAGUCCGUGCUACAGUGAUGAACUUUAGGAGAGAGGGAUUCAGUCCAGAGAGCUUUAGGAGAGAGGGUUCAUGUGAUUGAGUUAUUUUAUUAUUUUUUUUUUUUAAUUUUUGUGUGAACUCCCCACAUAAACCCUCAAUACACAUGCUCUUAGCAUACAUGCUUUCUCUAUAUGUAGCAGUUUUAAAGAUUUUUUUCUACAUGUAAGUAAUAAUUUUAAGCGGAGUUUCAAAUCAAAGCAAAGUCUAACUUGAAAUAAAAGAUGAUAUAACAGCUACGAAAGAUUUACUACAUUCAUCGAAAUAUUGCUGGCCUUUAUAGUUAGAAUAAUUGACUUAAAGUGAUUUUGUGUGGUAAUAAAGCCGCCAAAUAUGCGAUAUGGUCAACAACUGUAAAUGAUUUCAUCUAAACUAUUAAAACUGAAGUACAAAUUAAAACUAACCCUUAAACUUACACAAUAUUUACAGCUCAAUGCCAUUGAAUUAAUAUUAACUAUUUUUAUAGAAAAUUAAUCAUUAUUUAUAAAGGGUUAGUCUGUUACAGAUAUUCAAUGCUAUUUACCUGCACAACGAUG
Molecule: long non-coding RNA, 889 nt
Filed under: Brassica rapa (field mustard)
Lineage: Eukaryota; Viridiplantae; Streptophyta; Magnoliopsida; Brassicales; Brassicaceae
Description: long non-coding RNA (BRAP_LNC004613)
Source: RNAcentral